Molecule: small nuclear RNA, 109 nt
Organism: Marmota marmota marmota (Alpine marmot)
Lineage: Eukaryota; Metazoa; Chordata; Mammalia; Rodentia; Sciuridae
Source: Ensembl
CUGCUCGCUUUGGCAGCAAAUAUACUAAAAAUUGGGAAUGAUACAGAGAAGAUUAGCAUGGCUUCUGCACAAGAAUGACAUGUAAAUUCAUGAAGCAUUCCAUAUUUUU